UCCCUGGUGGCUCAGUGGUAAAGAAUCUGCCUGCCAAUGCAGGAGACCUGGGUUUGAUCCCUGGUCUGGGAA
Molecule: transfer RNA, 72 nt
Filed under: Odocoileus virginianus texanus
Lineage: Eukaryota; Metazoa; Chordata; Mammalia; Artiodactyla; Cervidae
Also listed under: 5 other names
Rfam family: tRNA
About the family: Transfer RNA (tRNA) molecules are approximately 80 nucleotides in length. Their secondary structure includes four short double-helical elements and three loops (D, anti-codon, and T loops).
Source: Rfam by way of RNAcentral